RNAcentral lists this ribosomal RNA (481 nucleotides) under uncultured bacterium. RNAcentral's name for it is "SSU rRNA". It matches the Rfam family "Bacterial small subunit ribosomal RNA", at positions 26 to 518 of the family's 1533-position model. The record is from RNAcentral.
AGGACGAACGCUGGCGGCGUGCUUAACACAUGCAAGUCGAGCGGAAAGGCCCUUCGGGGUACUCGAGCGGCGAACGGGUGAGUAACACGUGAGCAACCUGCCCUUAGCUUCGGGAUAGCUCCGGGAAACCGGAAUUAAUACCGAAUAUGACUUUGGCUGACAUCAGCAGAAGUGGAAAGUUUUUCGGCUAGGGAUGGACUCGCGGCCUAUCAGCUAGUUGGUGAGGUAACGGCCCACCAAGGCGACGACGGGUAGCCGGCCUGAGAGGGCGACCGGCCACACUGGGACUGAGACACGGCCCAGACUCCUACGGGAGGCAGCAGUGGGGAAUAUUGCACAAUGGACGAAAGUCUGAUGCAGCAACGCCGCGUGGGGGAUGAAGCUUCUCGGAGUGUAAACCCCUUUCGACCCGGACGAAUGCCCGCAAGGGUUUGACGGUACGGGUAUAAGAAGCCCCGGCUAACUACGCGCCAGCAGCCGC